CCGAGUGUUGAUAGCUCAGUUGGUAGAGCGGAGGACUGUAGAUCCUUAGGUCGCUGGUUCGACUCCGGCUCGAAGGA
Molecule: non-coding RNA, 77 nt
Organism: Puntigrus tetrazona (Sumatra barb)
Lineage: Eukaryota; Metazoa; Chordata; Actinopteri; Cypriniformes; Cyprinidae
Source: the annotation of a RefSeq genome assembly